GUUAAACUACUUUUGAGAUCUGCAUGCAUCUAAAAAUAAAGCAUCUGAAAAAAGCAUCCCUUCAGAAGAGUGAGCAUUAUGAGUCAUGGCAUAGAGCACAACAAACAUCAGAACUCUGUAUGCUAACAUUUUGUAGGAAUAUUUUAGUUUUGCCCCUUUUGGCAUUGCUAAGGCAUGGUGUUUGUAAACUUGUUAAAGUUAUAACUAAACUAAAACUUACAUUCACACACUAAGAAAUCAAGAGGUAUCAAAUUCUUCAUUUCAAAAAUCAAAAAUGAAAGACCAAUUUCGAAAGAAACGUAUACUAAUGACAAUUUUGUCCUUUUUGCUUAAGGUGCAGAAUUUGCCCCACUUCAGAAAUGUAUGGCUCUCCGAAGACCUCAAUUUUUUAUUCAUUUGACCUUUCAGUUCACUCAAAGACUUCUUUUAAUUUAUAGAUCUCUGCAUGGGCAAACAAAUAUGUGCUGUUAUUUCAUGGAAUGACGACUCUUCCAAAGAUAAGAAGACAGACAGGAUUACAUCCUCUGAACAAAGCUUGAGAGCAGAACACCUCCUCACUGGUCUCCCUGAUGCUUUUUGGACACCUUUGUUCCUGUGCCUCCAUGGACCUGUCCUCUGGCAUCACAGCAGCAUUCCUGGGCCUUUGGUGAGAAGAGUCUUGGCAGUGUUGCGUAGGCAGGAAAUGCAUCUUUGGUGAAAGCAACUUGCAGAGGUUUGCCUGUUCUUAUUUAAAACCAAGAAGAGACAGCAGUUCUUUUCUUUCAGCUCUGAUAGCUUAAUACUUCAGCACUGCACUUAAGUUUUGUGAUUUUUAGUUCUGUUCCUUUGAAUUAUUAAAUAAAAGCACACACACAGUUAGAAAUACCA
This 867-nucleotide long non-coding RNA is filed under the name Numida meleagris (helmeted guineafowl). Its description in RNAcentral is "lncRNA (ENSNMEG00000008524.1)". The record is from RNAcentral. Lineage: Eukaryota; Metazoa; Chordata; Aves; Galliformes; Numididae.